This 575-nucleotide ribosomal RNA is filed under the name Microtomus sp. CW-2009. RNAcentral describes it as "partial 16S ribosomal RNA". It matches the Rfam family "Bacterial large subunit ribosomal RNA", at positions 1797 to 2621 of the family's 2925-position model. The record is from RNAcentral. Lineage: Eukaryota; Metazoa; Arthropoda; Insecta; Hemiptera; Reduviidae.
CGCCUGUUUAUCAAAAACAUGGCCUCUUGAAUAUUGAUGGGAGGUCUGACCUGCCCAGUGAUUUAGGAUUAAAUGGCCGCAGUAUUUUAACUGUGCAAAGGUAGCAUAAUCAUUUGUCUUUUAAUUGAAGGCUUGUAUGAAUGGUUGGACGAGGGGUAAGCUUUCUUUAGUUUAAAUUUGGAUUUAGAAUUUAAUUUUUUUGUUAGAAAGCAAAAAUUAAAUUAUGGGACGAGAAGACCCUAUAGAACUUUAUUUAAUGUGGGAAUCAAGUGGGUUAGUCAUUUAUUAUUAAUAUGGAUGCUUGGUUAUUUUCAUUAAAUUGUGUUGGGGUGACAGGGAAAUAAUUAUAACUUUCUUUUAUUUUAUGUCAUAAAUUAGUGUUUUAUUGAUCCAAUUGUUAUUGAUUAUAAGAUUAAGUUACCUUAGGGAUAACAGCGUAAUUUUCUCGGAGAGUUCUUAUCGAUGAGGGAGUUUGCGACCUCGAUGUUGGAUUAAAAUAAGUAGUAGGAGCAGCAUCUUACUUACUAGGUCUGUUCGACCUUUGAAUUUUUACAUGAUCUGAGUUCAAACCGGAG